GACGAACGCUGGCGGCGUGCUUAACACAUGCAAGUCGAACGGAAAGGCCCUGCUUGCAGGGUACUCGAGUGGCGAACGGGUGAGUAACACGUGGGUGAUCUGCCCUGCACUUCGGGAUAAGCCUGGGAAACUGGGUCUAAUACCGGAUAGGAGCCAUUUUUAGUGUGAUGGUUGGAAAGUUUUUUCGGUGUAGGAUGAGCUCGCGGCCUAUCAGCUUGUUGGUGGGGUAAUGGCCUACCAAGGCGGCGGCGGGUAGCCGGCCUGGGAGGGUGGACGGCCACAUUGGGACUGAGAUACGGCCCAGACUCCUACGGGAGGCAGCAGUGGGGAAUAUUGCACAAUGGGCGCAAGCCUGGUGCAGCGACGCCGCGUGGGGGAUGACGGCCUUCGGGUUGUAAACUCCUUUCGCUAGGGACUAAGCUUUUUGUGACGGUACCUAGAUAAGAAGCACCGGCUAACUACGUG
Molecule: ribosomal RNA, 465 nt
Filed under: uncultured bacterium
Lineage: Bacteria
Description: partial 16S ribosomal RNA
Rfam family: Bacterial small subunit ribosomal RNA
Source: RNAcentral